RNA transcript from Toxorhynchites rutilus septentrionalis, 4490 nucleotides. RefSeq lists it as uncharacterized. The record is from RefSeq and is a predicted model, not a curated record. The transcript has 5 exons. NCBI's taxonomy places the organism in Eukaryota, Metazoa, Arthropoda, Insecta, Diptera, Culicidae.
UCUGUCGAUUCCGGUUGUUGUGCAACCCAAUCCGUUUGAGCUUUCCGUCUUCAGUGCUUAGUGCUACGAUAAGAGCAGUGUUUGCUGCUGAAGCUUUGGAGCGCUUGCUUGUUUCGUGUAUGCUUUGCGGUAUGAAUUAUUGUGAUACCCCUCGGCAUUCGCGCUGGUGAUUCGGUGUGCGAGGAGCGCGAAGAAUCCUUCUCCCAUUCCCCGGAGGAUCAUUGCAACGUGAGUUUAAUCAAGUUUGACCGGGUGGAAAGUGAAGGCGCCUGUUUCUGAUCCAAGCCGAUUUCACGUGUUUCGAAAAUUUUAAAAGUUGUUGUGGAAGUUGUGUGUGAACGAGGUGUAGAAUUACCACCGCGCUUUGGAUGCUGUAACAGUAUCCCUGGGAGUAUUCCUGAGCAGUGUUAUCGAUACCAGAAGGUAAUAAAGAGAAAAGUUAACUUUUGCCUUCGCCGAAUGUGAAACGGAGCAACAGAAUAGAAGAAUAGAAUUAAUGUGUACAUUUUAGAUUUAUCCCCGGAACGAUACGUCGCGACUAUUGUGGAACGUGAAAGAUUUAUACGCUGCCAGGCGUAAGGCAAUUUCGGAUCGUCCUGACGCAUCGUUUUGCAAGUGUUCGCAGUGUGUUUUCUUCUUCCGGAAGGCAUAUCCCACGAUGAGCUGAGCUCGGUCCUCCUCCUCCUCCCAGCAUCGACAGUAAAAGCCAAAUGAAAACAAAUAAAUUUACGAAUCAGGCAAGCGAAGUGAAAUAAAUAACAGGAGAAUAAAUGUUUAUUGCAUCCACAUGGUUAAGCCACCAGUAAAAAGCUCCCCCAACUUGGCCGAGAGUUUGGAUUAGCCGCGAAGGCAGCAAAAAGGAGUGCUGCUGUGAUCUUCGACGGUUUAUGUGUUUUUUUUUUCGGUGAGUGCUUACUUUCCCGAAUCCGAGUUGUUCCUCUCAUUAGUGCGCUUCCGAGCCUGGCUCGGCGGUAAAUUGUUAAGUGAAGUAAAUUUGGUUUGGUGAAUUAUUGCGCCGAAGAUAAUAAAAACAGCGUGAAAUCAGCGGUGGAAAGUAUUUAUCGCCCGAAGAAGUCUCACGGAAGAAUUUGGAUUGGGUGCAAGCGUGAUCUCAUCGGGGCUGAGAAGUGUUGUGUUUUAUUGGUGGCAAAAUCAGUUCCUAGGAGGAAGUGUCAGUAGCAGACGUUGUUUGCAUUGUCAACUUUAAGCUCGACUGCUCAUCGGCCGUUUGUGUGAAAGUACCUAGAGGAAAUUUUUGAACGAAUCCACCUCCACUCUCAAAGCGAUUCCCAUUUGCGUUCGACGAAAUUGUUGCAAGAUCUCCGAUGGCAUCACUUCAGCGAAUCGCUUGAAUUCGCUCGUUUCGUGAUACCACCGUCACCUCAUCCUCAACACCCCAGUACUCCUCCUGUGACCUGUGGUGGAGGACAAGAGACACACAUUCUUGAAGAAAUUUACACGGACCCGUCUCUUUGAUAUCGACAAUUUUCAAGAGGUGAGGAACGCUCUACCAGCCUUAUCUGGGAAGGGUUAACCCAGACGUCGAGUGGGGAUCGCACCCACAAAAACCAAGCCCUCUACUCGUUGCCUUAUUCCCCCUGGGACCACAUCUAGGCGACUACUUCAGGGGGCGGCUGUGCUCAUGCACUCUUCGAGUUUUCAACGCUGACUAGCGUUGUCCUUCCCUUUUUCUCAACAUCUUUUUGUCUCUCUAUUCGCUUUUCAUUCCACUGCGCUUAUGUCCUCUUCGCAGGCAUCCAUUUACCCGUCGAGACGUGUACCGAUUAGGAAUUGCCCUCCAACUUGACGCGCAACCCGUCACAGUCACCAUCGCGGGAUUUCUCACCUGUCGAGACGUGCACCGAUUAGGAAGCGCCCUCCAACUUGACGCGCGCCCCGUCACAAUCACCCUCGCAGGAUUUCUCUUCCCAGCGGAGUGCCGAUUAGGUAGUGCCCUCCUACAUGACGCGCACUCCGUCACAGCUACUCUCGUGGGGUAUACACCAUUUUGAUCACGGCUUCAUCCUUCGCGGUGUUUCUCCAUCCAGGCCACGAUCAGGCGUUGCCAGGCAGGCAUUUUUGCUGUUCUCCGCGGCAGUAUCCGGUUACCUGUCGAGACGUGCACCGAUUAGGAAGCGCCCUCCAACUUGACGCGCGCCCCGUCACAGUCACCCUCGCAGGAUUUCUCUCCCAGCGGAGCGCCAAUUAGGUAGUGCCCUCCAACAUGACGCGCACUCCGUCACAGCUACUCUCGUGGGGUAUGCACCAUUUUGAUCAUGGUUUCAUCCUUGAUGCUCGCUCCUUCGAAACGUUCGCAGUGUUUCUCCAUCCAGACCACGAUCAGGCGUUGCCAGGCAGGCAUUUUUGCUCUUCUCCGUGGCAGUAUCCGGUUACCUGUCGAGACGUGCACCGAUUAGGAAGCGCCCUCCAACUUGACGCGCGCCCCGUCACAGUCACCCUCGCAGGAUUUCUCUCCCCAGCGGAGCGCCGAUUAGGUAGUGCCCUCCAACAUGACGCGCACUCCGUCACGGCGGCUCUCGGGGGGGACUAUCCGGUACUACAGCCGUCUCGAUUAUUCAUCUCUUAUGGUCAGGCGUUAUCCGCAUGCUGGUCGGUCCUCCACUUCCGCUGUAGCUCGGACAUGAUAUGUACGAUUGCACUGUUUACUGCGUUCCAGGUGCCCUCGUCACGACACAUUUCCUCCACGAUGUUCCCAGCAUGAAGGGUAGGCAGCCCCUCACGCACUGUGGUGAAUCUGGGACAUUCGAAUACGAUGUGUUCCGGUGUUUCCUCCACAUUUCCACACUCCGGACAAAGAGGCGAUCUUGCGUGUCCGAACCGGUGCAGAUACUGCCUGAAGCAGCCAUGACCAGACAAAAACUGCGUUAGAUGGAAAUUUACCUCUCCGUGUUUCCUGUUCACCCAGCCCAUUAGUGUCGGUAUGAGCCUGUGCGUCCACCUGCCGUUUUGCGCGGCACUCCACUCUUGCUGCCACCUAGCCAUCGACUCCGCCCUCAUUAGCUUCCGGAUUCCUCUGGUUCCCCUCCUCCUAUAGCACUCGCUGUCCUCCGCCAAGAUGAUGUCUAUGGGGACCAACCUGGCUAUGACGUAGACCGCUUCUGUUGACACGGUUCUGUACGCACUCGCGACUCGCAUCGCCAUGAGCCGGUACGUACUAUUCAGCCUCUUCGUGUUCCGCUGAGUUUCUAACGCCGCGAUCCAGGCUGGACUACCGUAACGUAGUGUCGAUGAGGAGACACUAGCCAAGAGGUGCCUCUUGCUGCUGCUUGGGCCAAAGUUGUUGGGCAUGAUUCGUGUCAGUGCAUUGAUUGCCUUCGUUGCUUUUUUACAAGCGUAGUCGACGUGACUGUUGAAGUUCAGUCGAUCGUCGAUCUGCACCUCCAGGUAUUUUAGGUCUCGCUUCGAGGUUAUCGAGUGCUCUCCAAUUGUGAUUUCUGCACGUUGCACCGCCCUGCGGUUGCUGACAAUCAGCAUUUCCGUCUUGUGGUGGGCUAUCUGCAGUUUCACACUUUGCAUCCACCUUCCGAUCAUGUCUAUCGACUCGGUCGCGAGCAUUUCGACCCGUUCCAAAGAUUCCCCUGUCGCGAGAAUAACGAUGUCAUCCGCGAAGCCAAUGAUCUCCACACCUCUGGGCAGAUUCAGUUUUAGUACACCAUCGUACAUACUGUUCCAGAGCGAUGGGCCCAGGAUAGAGCCCUGCGGAACUCCCGCCGUAGUUUUAAUCUGCGCCUGGCCCGUGUUUGUCUCGUACACCAGCACACGGUUCUCGAAGUAGCUUCUCAGUAUUCUACACAGGUAGUCUGGGACUUUCAUCGUGUGGAGCGCAGUCGCGAUGGCCUCCCAGCUGGCACUAUUGAACGCGUUCUUAACGUCGAUCAUUAUCACUGCGCAGUAUCGAUUUCCUCUGAGCUUCUGUUUGGAUGCUCUGUUGGCUCUUUCGACCACUAUGCGAAUGGCAUCUACCGUGGAUAUCCCUUUCCGAAAUCCGAAUUGAUUAUCGGACAGUCCACGAACUCCCUCCGUGCAUUCCGUCAGCCUAUUAAGGAUGAUUCUUUCCAAAAGUUUCCCAAGAAUGUCCAACAGGCAUAUGGGUCUAUACGAUGCUGGACCACCCGGCGUCUUUCCUGGCUUGGGCAGUAGUACUAGCUGUUGUACCUUCCAUCGAUCCGGAAAGUAGCAUUCGUCUAGACACUUCUGCAUGGCUGUCCUGAACAUAUCAGGGAAUGCUAGGACUGCCGCUUUCAAAGCUACGUUGGGGAUUCCAUCUGGGCCAGGCGCUUUCUUCGUUUUUAGGCGUUUGAUAGCUGCAACUAGCUCAUCGUUCGUCACAUCUCUGCGUUCGAUGCUAUCCUCAUCCUCUCCAUAUGGCGUGGGUGGCCAGGUCGUUGGGUCGUGCUGCGGAAAUAACCCUUCCACGAUAAUUUUUAAUUUUUCGGGACACAUUUCGGAAGGUGUCGUUGGGCCCCUGA